AUGGAUCAUGGAUUCCCGGAACGGCAGCAUCUCACCAGACAUCGUGAAAGAAGAGUACUAGCAUAUGGAGUGUACCGCCCGCUUUGCCCUGAGAGAGGCAUUGACGGCGUCCUACCACUCCCAAGCGCCCAGGAUCGCAAUCGCCUAAAUUUUGGUGCUAUUCUCUCCAAAGAAGAAGGCAAUGGCUUGUCCUACUUUUAUGCGUUGACGGAGUUUUGCGAUGAGACAGAAAAAUUCACUAUGCGUGUGUAUAUGUUGCAAGGCAGUGUUCGGUGCUUGCAUACCUUGGCCACAUACCAGCUCCAUCUUCCACUACCCAGAGCAAUAGUUGUGCUCGUCGACAAUAAAAUCUAUGUGGUGGCCUCCCCCGCCGACGACAUUAUUGUCUUGGAUUUGACGGCCUCAAGUUUGUCUAGAAUCCAGCUCCCACCUGGAGUGAAGUAUCACAGUUUCAACACCGUCUUGUCACGGGCAGACGAUCCUUCCGGUAUAUGUCUCAUCCAUGUCAAUGGCUUUAAACUUCACAUCUGGCUCCAUAAGGGGGACAACUGGUUGCUGGUCGAUACCAUUUGUUUGCAUGAGAUGUGUGCUAAUCUGAGGAUGCUAGAUAACACGCUUGAGGAUGAGCAUACUGGCCGUUGCUAUAUAUGUCAGGCAGGGGAUAAUGCUGAGUUUCUGCUCAUAAAAAUGUGUGGAUGUCUGCUCUAUCUGGACGUCAAGAACAGGACACUACGUAAAGUUCUUGCGAUGGCACAAAAGUAUCAACAUUUCACUGUUGUCUGCCCUUUUAUGAUGGUUUGGCCUCCCACAUUCCCUGUGCUCAAGGAUGGUCCUGCCAGGAAUGCCAUGUGA
Molecule: ribosomal RNA, 852 nt
Filed under: Triticum aestivum (bread wheat)
Lineage: Eukaryota; Viridiplantae; Streptophyta; Magnoliopsida; Poales; Poaceae
Description: partial small subunit ribosomal RNA
Source: RNAcentral